AUGGACCCCUGCGCCUUCGUCCGCCUCACCGUGGACCAGCUCCUCCUCAAGCUCCCCGCCGUGCCGCGCCCCAGCUCCGGCGCCGCCGGCGUGCACCCCUCCACCUCCCCCUGCUUCUGCACGCUCCACCUCCAGGACCACCCUUCCUCCCUCUCCCGCACGGCGCCGCUGCCCCUCGCGUCCGCCUGCCUCCCUGGCGGGGCCUGCGGCGGCGACCCCGUCGUGCUCAGCCUCGACGCCGCCGCCGUGCAGAAGCUCUCGGGCCGCCCCGUCGAGCUCGUCGUCACCGUGCACGCGGGCCAGUCCAAGGGGAGCACGAGCACCGGCUGUGGCGUGGGCGCCAGCCGCGCCCUCGGGAAGGUGCGCGUGGCCGUCGACGUGGCGCGCGCCGCGGCCGGGGAGACCGUCGUGGCGCGCGACGGGUGGGUGGACGUGGGGAAGCCGGCGUCGUCGGCCGCGCGCGCGCAGAUCCACAUGCUCGUGCGGGCCGAGCCCGACCCGCGCUACGUCUUCCAGUUCGGGGGCGAGCCGGAGUGCGGCCCCGUCGUCUACCAGGUGCCUGGCGGAAGCGCCGGCGGCGGGCAGCGGCAGCCGGUGUUCACCUGCCGGUUCAGUGCUGGCCGGAGGGCAGCUAGGACCAGAUCUCUGACGUCGGAAUCGUCCAUGACCCGGAGCCCCAGCCGGAGGCUGCGAUCGUGGCUGAGCACGCUGCACGGCGACGGGGACAAGCGUGCGCAGCGCGACCAGCGCAAGGGGUGGAUGGUGACCAUCCACGACCUCUCCGGCUCCCCGGUGGCGGCGGCGUCCAUGGUCACCCCGUUCGUGCCGUCCCCGGGCUCCGGCCGCGUCUCCCGCGCCAACCCGGGCGCCUGGCUCAUCCUCCAGCCCACCGGCGCCGGUGCGUCCAGCUGGAAGCCGUGGGCGCGGCUGGAGGCGUGGCGGGAGCGCGGCCCCGUCGACGCGCUCGGCUACCGCCUCGAGCUCGUCUUCGACUCGGGCCCCGUCGAGUGCGCCGUCCCCAUCGCCCAGUCGUCCAUCAGCGCCAAGCGCGGCGGCCAGUUCGUGAUCGACCCGGCCACGUUCCCCGAGGGCUCCACCGGCGGUGCGUGGCCGUUCGCCGGCGGGUUCGUGAUGGGCUCGACGGUGGAGGGCGAGGGGAAGGCCAGCCGGCCCACCGUGCAGGUCGGCGUGCAGCACGUGGCGUGCAUGGGCGACGUGGCCGUGUUCAUCGCGCUGUCGGCUGCCGUCGAUCUCUGCAUGGACGCAUGCAAGCUCUUCUCGCACAGGCUCAGGAAGGAGCUGUGCCAGGACCAAGACGACUAG
This 1323-nucleotide ribosomal RNA is filed under the name Triticum aestivum (bread wheat). RNAcentral's name for it is "partial small subunit ribosomal RNA". Lineage: Eukaryota; Viridiplantae; Streptophyta; Magnoliopsida; Poales; Poaceae. The record is from RNAcentral.